This 500-nucleotide ribosomal RNA is filed under the name uncultured bacterium. RNAcentral describes it as "partial 16S ribosomal RNA". It matches the Rfam family "Bacterial small subunit ribosomal RNA", at positions 30 to 523 of the family's 1533-position model. The record is from RNAcentral.
AUUGAACGCUGGCGGCAUGCUUUACACAUGCAAGUCGAACGGUAACAGGGUGCUUGCACCGCUGACGAGUGGCGAACGGGUGAGUAAUGCGUCGGAACGUGCCGAGUAGUGGGGGAUAACGCAGCGAAAGUUGUGCUAAUACCGCAUACGUACUGAGGUAGAAAGUGGGGGACCUUCGGGCCUCACGCUAUUCGAGCGGCCGACGUCCGAUUAGCUAGUAGGUGAGGUAAAGGCUCACCUAGGCGACGAUCAGUAGCGGGUCUGAGAGGAUGAUCCGCCACAAGGGGACUGUGACACGGCCCAGACUCCUACGGGAGGAAGCAGUGGGGAAUUUUGGACAAUGGGCGAAAGCCUGAUCCAGCCAUGCCGCGUGUCUGAAGAAGGCCUUCGGGUUGUAAAGGACUUUUGUCAGGGAGGAAAUCCCUAGUGCUAAUAACACUGGGGGAUGACAGUACCUGAAGAAUAAGCACCGGCUAACUACGUGCCAGCCGCCGCCGUAA